This 250-nucleotide ribosomal RNA is filed under the name uncultured bacterium. RNAcentral's name for it is "partial 16S ribosomal RNA". It matches the Rfam family "Bacterial small subunit ribosomal RNA", at positions 524 to 773 of the family's 1533-position model. The record is from RNAcentral.
UACAGGGGGUGCAAGCGUUGUUCGGAAUUACUGGGCGUAAAGGGAGCGUAGGCGGAACUACAAGACAGAGGUUAAAUCUCCGGGCUCAACCUGGAACUUGCCUUUGUGACUGUGGUUCUUGAGUAUGGUAGAGGUUGGCGGAAUUUCCGGUGUAGCGGUGGAAUGCGUAGAGAUCGGAAAGAACACCAGAGGCGAAGGCGGCCAACUGGACCAAUACUGACGCUGAGGCUCGAAAGCGUGGGGAGCAAAC